GGGGUCAGAAGGUCAUGAGCUGUAACCAGAAAAACAACUGACAUUUGGGAAUUUUAAAUAUGUGGUCAAUUUUCAGAAUGAGAGAAUUAGGUGAAAAAGAGGCCUUGCUUGUUAAACAAGUGGAUUCGGGGAUCAAGUGGAGCUGGAGCUGGGCCUGGCUUAAACUGGAUGCCACUAUAGAGAUGGUGACGAGCCUGCAGCAACACCACCAACAUGUCACAGACAUCACAGCCCCAUAAAUAGCUGCUAGAAACUGAGGGAAACUCAGAUAUCAACCCUGCGUCCUCCCUCUGUAAAACAACACACAGAACCGUCUAGACAACCAGGUGGACCUCCGGCGCAGGGGGCAUCCGAAAUGAGAGUAGGCCUUCGACACAGUGGACCGAGAAGCAUUGCUCAACAAUUUCGAGCCUGGAAUGGAUACGUGACUGUGAACAGGAAGACACGCCCAUAUGUACCUGUUUGACGCCUGCAUACCUCAUGUGUACAUACAAGACGUCCUGUUUCCUGUUGUUUCGUUUAUCAACCCGCUGAUAUCCUGCUGAGGAUAUUUGUUACAGAAAAGAGGGGACACACAUCCUACAAGAUUAAAUUCCUCAGCAGUUGGAGAAGAAAACUUGGCCUUUUUCCUUCUGGAGGAAUUGAAGAAACUGCAUGUUGUAUCAGACUACUGUAUCAGGAGACUACUGUAUCAGGAGACUACUGUAUCAGACCACUGUAUCAGACUACUGUAUCAGGAGACUACUGUAUCAGACUACUGUAUCAGGAGACUACUGUAUCAGGAGACUACUGUAUCUGGAGACCACUGUAUCAGACCACUGUAUCAGACAACUGUAUCAGGAGACUACUGUAUCAGGAGACUACUGUAUCAGACCACUACUACUGUAGACUACUGUAUCAGACUACUGUAUCAGGAGACUACUGUAUCAGGAGACUACUGUAUCAGACCACUGUAUCAGACUACUGUAUCAGGAGACUACUGUAUCAGACCACUGUAUCAGGAGACUACUGUAUCAGACUACUGUAUCAGACUACUGUAUCAGGAGACUACUGUAUCAGGAGACUACUGUAUCAGACUACUGUAUCAGCAUUGAAUUCCCACUAACCCUAAUCUGAUCCACUUUUUGCAGACACUCACUACUGUUAGCAGAUGUUUGUACUCGUUAUGCAGAUAAGGAUAAUUCAUCUAAAUUACUCAGUAAUUCAUGUUUUAAUCCGCUGAAAAUUGCAUUCUGUAAAUGUGCCUUACACUGGAAUAUUGUAGCAUUGUGAUUUUCCCAUUUUACCCAAUCCAAGGAAAGAAGAUCUUAUUCGGGAA
Long non-coding RNA from Oncorhynchus tshawytscha (Chinook salmon), 1318 nucleotides. Lineage: Eukaryota; Metazoa; Chordata; Actinopteri; Salmoniformes; Salmonidae. The record is from Ensembl.